UGGAAAAGUCAGUCAAAGAGGGUAAAAACCCCGUAGAUGAAAUUUGGAAGGCACCUAGGAGGAUCCUGAGUACGGCGGAACACGAGGAAUUCCGUCGGAAUCCGGGAGGACCAUCUCCCAAGGCUAAAUACUCCCUAGUGACCGAUAGUGAACCAGUACCGUGAGGGAAAGGUGAAAAGCACCCCGGAAGGGGAGUGAAAUAGAACCUGAAACCGUGUGCCUACAACAAGUCAAAGCCCGUUAAUGGGUGAUGGCGUGCCUUUUGUAGAAUGAACCGGCGAGUUACGAUUGCAUGCGAGGUUAAGUUGAAGAGACGGAGCCGCAGCGAAAGCGAGUCUGAAUAGGGCGUUUGAGUAUGUAGUCGUAGACCCGAAACCAUGUGAUCUACCCAUGUCCAGGUUGAAGGUGCGGUAAAACGCACUGGAGGACCGAACCCACGUACGUUGAAAAGUGCGGGGAUGAGGUGUGGGUAGCGGAGAAAUUCCAAACGAACUUGGAGAUAGCUGGUUCUCUCCGAAAUAGCUUUAGGGCUAGCCUCGGAAUUGAGAAUGAUGGAGGUAGAGCACUGUUUGGACUAGGGGCCCAUCUCGGGUUACCGAAUUCAGAUAAACUCCGAAUGCCAUUCAUUCAUAUCCGGGAGUCAGACUGUGAGUGAUAAGAUCCAUAGUCGAAAGGGAAACAGCCCAGACCACCAGCUAAGGUCCCAAAAUAUAUGUUAAGUGGAAAAGGAUGUGGGGUUGCACAGACAACUAGGAUGUUGGCUUAGAAGCAGCCACCAUUUAAAGAGUGCGUAAUAGCUCACUAGUCGAGUGACCCUGCGCCGAAAAUGUACCGGGGCUAAACAUAUUACCGAAGCUGUGGAGUACACCUUUAGGUGUAUUGGUAGGAGAGCGUUCUAAGGGCGUUGAAGGCAGAUCGUGAGGACUGUUGGAGCGCUUAGAAGUGAGAAUGCCGGUAUGAGUAGCGAAAGACAGGUGAGAAUCCUGUCCACCGAAUGACUAAGGUUUCCUGGGGAAGGCUCGUCCGCC
This 1028-nucleotide ribosomal RNA is filed under the name Enterococcus hirae. Its description in RNAcentral is "partial 23S ribosomal RNA". It matches the Rfam family "Bacterial large subunit ribosomal RNA", at positions 343 to 1374 of the family's 2925-position model. The record is from RNAcentral. Lineage: Bacteria; Bacillati; Bacillota; Bacilli; Lactobacillales; Enterococcaceae.